This 49-nucleotide non-coding RNA is filed under the name Trichobilharzia regenti. Lineage: Eukaryota; Metazoa; Platyhelminthes; Trematoda; Strigeidida; Schistosomatidae. The record is from RNAcentral.
GUUCGUCUGAAGAGUCCCAAACUAGGCGGACGAAACAGCUGUCAAAGAC